CUCGCAUGACGUCUCGAUCGAUCAAAGCGCUUAAUCCUGCGGGUGGGGUGUUUAAUCAGAACUGCACACGAUGAGCGCAUUUGGGUGAAUGCAUUCUCUUAUCGGGCUUGCAAGAUUGUACAUAUGCAAUAAACUUCUUAACCAUCUUCUGGUUUACCCAGCUGCAUGAGAAGCGAUAAGCUCGUUCCCACUUUGAACCAUCAUGAAAUACACGAGGUAGACUUCUUGUAGGACAAACACGCAAUUUAAUCGCCUCGCUGAGGGUUAAGGCCUUUGUCGGGCGGUCGUUUCGAGACGUGAAGGAAGUAAAGGAAUAGGAAAUAUAUUGUGCGGUACUACCGUUGCGUGGAUUACCUUGAUGCUUUACGCAAUUGCAAUUAAGAGAUGCACGACGUUAGUCUAUCAAGUGCUCAAGUGCUAUUAAACGUAGGGUACGGUGGGGCAAAAGUGCUCGUUUGACUCAAUGAGAUAGUUGGUUGUUAUGAGAAAAAGCGAAAAAAAUAAGAUAAUGGAGACCGGCGACGAAGGCCGCGGGAUGGUACAUAUAGACAAAUAGCGGCGAGCAAAUCGGAAACAUCAAUAGAGGAAACAAGUAACCCGCCGAUGAAACAUGCUUGGCUUACAUGACGUCGAUGGCUUAGUGACGGCAAAUUAAACUACUGCAAUCGCGAUUCAUAGGGAGGUAGUUGUGUAGAGCGAAAUUACGUCGAUAUGCAACCCUGGUUAAAUGUCUUGGAAUAUUUUCUAAUCUAGUGCAUCCCUCAAUACUAGAGGGACUGAAAUAAUGCUAGCAUAUUCCAAAAUUUGACGAACAACAUUGGACGAGCCGCAGAGAGUUCUUAAGCAGGAAAGAUCUCUAAAAUCAGACGAAAAUCAGUGCUUUUACAUAUUUUUUACAUAUUUAAAACGUACUCGCAAAUGACUGUCAAAAUUCAAUAAACUUUUCCAUUGUUUACCUCA
Anopheles gambiae (African malaria mosquito) is the source of this 960-nucleotide long non-coding RNA. RefSeq lists it as uncharacterized. The transcript is spliced from 2 exons. The record is from RefSeq and is a predicted model, not a curated record. NCBI's taxonomy places the organism in Eukaryota, Metazoa, Arthropoda, Insecta, Diptera, Culicidae.